This 1235-nucleotide ribosomal RNA is filed under the name metagenome. RNAcentral describes it as "bacterial LSU rRNA". It matches the Rfam family "Bacterial large subunit ribosomal RNA", at positions 1564 to 2808 of the family's 2925-position model. The record is from RNAcentral.
UGAGUACGAGAUGCUACGGCAUCGAAGCAGUCUAUGUCAUACUUCCAAGAAAAGCUUGCACUGUCAUAAACAAAGAAUGCCUGUACCAUAACCGACACAGGUGGGUAGGUAGAGUAUACUAAGGGGCGCGAGAUAACUCUCUCUAAGGAACUCGGCAAAAAUGACUCCGUAACUUCGGGAGAAGGAGUGCCUUAUUUCUAAGGUUGCAAUAACAAGAUCCAAGCAACUGUUUACCAAAAACACAGGUCUCCGCUAAGUCGUAAGACGAUGUAUGGGGGCUGACGCCUGCCCAGUGCCAGAAGGUUAAAGAAGUUGGUUAGCAUUAGCGAAGCUGAUAACUGAAGCCCUGGUGAACGGCGGCCGUAACUAUAACGGUCCUAAGGUAGCGAAAUUCCUUGUCGGGUAAGUUCCGACCCGCACGGAAGGCGUAAUGAUUUGGAUACUGUCUCGGAGAGGGGCUCGGUGAAAUAGACUUGUCUGUGAAGAUGCGGACUACCUGCACCUGGACAGAAAGACCCUAUGAAGCUUUACUGUAACUUGAGAUUGAAAUUGGACUUUAUUUGCGCAGUAUAGGUGGGAGGCGUUGAGAAUAAUCUUGCGGGAUUGUUGGAGCCAUCAGUGAGAUACCACUCUUGUAAUGUUAGAUUUCUAACUUUGUAUCAUUAUCUGGUCAAAGAACAGUUUCAGGCGGGCAGUUUGACUGGGGCGGUCGCCUCCCAAAGGGUAACGGAGGCGCACAAAGGUUUCCUCUGAACGGGUAGAAAUCGUACCUAGAGUGUAAAGGCAUAAGGAAGCCUGACUGUGAGACCUACAAGUCGAGCAGGGACGAAAGUCGGUCUUAGUGAUCUGACGGUGCUGAGUGGAAAGGCCGUCACUCAACGGAUAAAAGUUACUCUAGGAUAACAGGCUGAUCUCCCCCAAGAGUUCACAUCGACGGGGAGGUUUGGCACCUCGAUGUCGGCUCAUCGCAUCCUGGGGCGGUAGUCCGUCCCAAGGGUUGGGCUGUUCGCCCAUGAAAGCGGUACGCGAGCUGGGUUCAGAACGUCGUGAGACAGUUCGGUCCAUAUCCGGUGUAGGCGUUAGAAUAUUGAGAGGAGCCUUCUCUAGUACGAGAGGACCGAGAAGGACAUACCUCUGGUGUACCAGUUAUCGUGCCAACGGUAAACGCUGGGUAGCUAUGUAUGGAGUGGAUAACCGCUGAAAGCAUCUAAGUGGGAAGCCCACCUCAAGAUAAG